This 1246-nucleotide long non-coding RNA is filed under the name Marmota monax (woodchuck). Lineage: Eukaryota; Metazoa; Chordata; Mammalia; Rodentia; Sciuridae. The record is from RNAcentral.
UUAAUAUUUAUUUUUUAGUUUUCGGCGGACACACAUCUUUGUUUGUAUGUGGUGCUGAGGAUCGAAGCCGGGCCGCACGCAUGCCAGGCGAGUGUGCUACCGCUUGAGCCACAUCCCCAGCCCUGAAAACAGAAUUUGUUUGCCUGUACUGAAGGGACAGCAGGAACGGUCAGCAGAGGACACAGGUGGAACCAAGUCUGCAGCUCUGCCUCUUCUCACCAGCCCCCACUCCACCCUCAGUAGGUCUCUAAAAAUGCUGGCAGCACGACCAUGAGACACAAUGCCUUGGUAUUAUCCACCCCCCACCAGUACAGAAAAAGCUAAGUCCCAUCUUUGUCAGGUUUUUACUCUGGGACAGGUGGAGGUAAGCUUCACUAGAGUCACUGUCCAUGUCCUUUCUUUCAGACCCUGGGAAAACAGAAUGGCUGAUACAUCCUGGAGCCCAUGUCCUGUCUCUUUGAAAGCCCUCAGUAGUGGGAGUCUUCGGGUCCUCAGGCUCAGUCUGGCAUUUGUUAUGCCCCCUUUUCCCCCAACUAGAUUAGAGGCCCCCACUGGUCCUGUAGCCCCUGAAGUCACAUCUUAUGGCACCUGCUAUAUACAACUGUGCCCCUUAAGGUGAAACUAAAUUGUCUCAUUUACCCUUAGUCAUGGAAGCUACUUCUGGGAGUGAAAGGCUUUCCACUCCAGCACUACUGGGGGCUUUGUUUGGGGAGUUAAGGUGAGAGAGGAGUUUGAUACUGACAGCAACUAUUCCACAGAAAGAUGGGAUUGAUGUGGUGGGGCACUGGUAAUCAGCUGUGGGAGGUGGGCAGGACAGGUGGGGCAUGUGGUAACCAUGGGUGGAGAGUGGGAGCCAAUGUGCUUGGGCUCAGUGAUGGAGUACACCUCCCUGUUGGUCUUUUUUUCUCUGAGAAGGAAGAGCAGCUGAUCAUCCAUGAAAUAUGGGAGGUGGAGACAGAGGACUGAAGUGAGUGCUGACCACAUAGCAGCAGGCUGGAUAGUGUGUGGGGACCAUAUGUCAUCUGUGGGUCACUCUGCCCUGGAUGAUAGUGGGUGUGGACCUUGAGUGUAUAGAUGGUCAGGACUGUAUAUGUUUUUUUGUUUUGAGAGCGGGGGAAGAAUUGGGGAUUUAACCCGGGAGGCUUUACCACUGAGCUGUAUCUCCCAACCCUUUUUUUUAAGUAUUUUUUUUUAAAAGAGAGAGAGAAUUUUUUUUUUAAUAUUUAUUUUUUAGUUUUUGGCGGAC